This 336-nucleotide unclassified non-coding RNA is filed under the name soil metagenome. Its description in RNAcentral is "partial contains 5.8S ribosomal RNA, internal transcribed spacer 2, and large subunit ribosomal RNA". The stretch from base 1 to 120 matches the Rfam family "5.8S ribosomal RNA", at positions 35 to 154 of the family's 154-position model. The record is from RNAcentral.
GAUGAAGAACGCAGCGAAAUGCGAUAAGUAAUGCGAAUUGCAGAAUUCAGUGAGUCAUCGAAUCUUUGAACGCACAUUGCGCCCGCCAGUAUUCUGGCGGGCAUGCCUGUUCGAGCGUCAUUUCAACCAUCAAGCCCCAGGCUUGUGUUGGGGACCUGCGGCUGCCGCAGGCCCUGAAAACCAGUGGCGGGCUCGCUGUCACACCGGGCGUAGUAGAUUUUAUCUCGCUCAGGGCGUGCUGCGGGUUCCGGCCGUUAAAAAGCCUUUUUUACCCAAGGUUGACCUCGGAUCAGGUAGGAAGACCCGCUGAACUUAAGCAUAUCAAUAAGCGGAGGA